This 416-nucleotide ribosomal RNA is filed under the name Carnobacterium maltaromaticum. Its description in RNAcentral is "bacterial SSU rRNA". It matches the Rfam family "Bacterial small subunit ribosomal RNA", at positions 1 to 401 of the family's 1533-position model. The record is from RNAcentral. Lineage: Bacteria; Bacillati; Bacillota; Bacilli; Lactobacillales; Carnobacteriaceae.
UUAUAUGAGAGUUUGAUCCUGGCUCAGGACGAACGCUGGCGGCGUGCCUAAUACAUGCAAGUCGAACGCACGAAGUUGAAGAGCUUGCUCUUUAACCAAGUGAGUGGCGGACGGGUGAGUAACACGUGGGUAACCUACCCAUUAGAGGGGGAUAACAUUCGGAAACGGAUGCUAAUACCGCAUAGUUUCAGGAAUCGCAUGAUUCGUGAAGGAAAGGUGGCUUCGGCUACCACUAAUGGAUGGACCCGCGGCGUAUUAGCUAGUUGGUGAGGUAAUGGCUCACCAAGGCAAUGAUACGUAGCCGACCUGAGAGGGUGAUCGGCCACACUGGGACUGAGACACGGCCCAGACUCCUACGGGAGGCAGCAGUAGGGAAUCUUCCGCAAUGGACGAAAGUCUGACGGAGCAACGCCGCG